RNAcentral lists this ribosomal RNA (499 nucleotides) under Pleosporales sp. RNAcentral describes it as "SSU rRNA". It matches the Rfam family "Eukaryotic small subunit ribosomal RNA", at positions 194 to 693 of the family's 1831-position model. The record is from RNAcentral. Lineage: Eukaryota; Fungi; Ascomycota; Dothideomycetes; Pleosporales.
GAAGGGGGGUGAUUUAUUAGAUAAAAAACCAACGCCCUUCGGGGCUUCUUGGUGAUUCAUGAUAACUUCACGGAUCGCAUGGCCUUGCGCCGGCGACGGUUCAUUCAAAUUUCUGCCCUAUCAACUUUCGAUGGUAAGGUAUUGGCUUACCAUGGUUUCAACGGGUAACGGGGAAUUAGGGUUCGAUUCCGGAGAGGGAGCCUGAGAAACGGCUACCACAUCCAAGGAAGGCAGCAGGCGCGCAAAUUACCCAAUCCCGACACGGGGAGGUAGUGACAAUAAAUACUGAUACAGGGCUCUUUUGGGUCUUGUAAUUGGAAUGAGUACAAUUUAAACCUCUUAACGAGGAACAAUUGGAGGGCAAGUCUGGUGCCAGCAGCCGCGGUAAUUCCAGCUCCAAUAGCGUAUAUUAAAGUUGUUGCAGUUAAAAAGCUCGUAGUUGAAACUUGGGCCUGGCUGGCAGGUCCGCCUCACCGCGUGUACUUGUCCGGCCGGGCCU